This 46-nucleotide non-coding RNA is filed under the name Trichobilharzia regenti. The record is from RNAcentral. Lineage: Eukaryota; Metazoa; Platyhelminthes; Trematoda; Strigeidida; Schistosomatidae.
AUCCAGAUGAUGAAUCCCAAAAUAGGACGAAAUGUGCAUCCUGGAU